Molecule: ribosomal RNA, 1364 nt
Filed under: Somabrachys aegrota
Lineage: Eukaryota; Metazoa; Arthropoda; Insecta; Lepidoptera; Somabrachyidae
Description: 16S ribosomal RNA
Source: RNAcentral
GGGGGAUGAAUUAAUAAAUAAAUAAAUAAUAAAAAAAUUUUUGUUAAUAAUAUAGGGGGUUAAAGUAUUUUAAUAAAAAUAAUUUUUAGAAAUUUAUAGUUAAGUAGUAUUGGGGGAGAAUUUUGAAAUAAGAUUGAAAAUAAAUUUAUUGGGGGGUAAAUUUAAUUUAUUGUAUCUUGUGUAUCAGAGUUUAUUAAUAAUUUUUUUUUGUUUAAUAUUUCUCGAAUUUUAAAGAUCUAAUUAAUUAAAAAAGUUAUUGUUAAAUAAAUAUUUUAAAUAAUUAAUUAGAAAUGAAAUGUUAUUCGUUUUAAAAAAUAUCUAGUUUUUUUAGAAAAAAAUUAAAUUUUUAAUUUAAAUUUUAAAAUUAAUUUUAUAUUAUUAAAAAAUUUUAAAUUAAAUAUUUUAAGGGAUAAGCUUUAAAUUAAAUUAUUAUAAAUAAAUAAGAAUAUUUAUGAAAAUUUUAAAAUUUAUAUUGUUUAAAAAUUAUAAUUUUUUAUAAAUAAAUUUUUUAUCUUUUAAGAUUUUAUUUAUUUUAAUUUUUUAUAAAAAAAAAAUUUUUAAUUAAAAAAAAUUUAAUAUAAUGAUAAAAUUAGUAUAUAAAAUAAUUUUUAAAAAAUAUUUAUGUAAAAUUAAAUAAUUUAAAGGAAUUCGGCAAAAUUUUAUAUUCACCUGUUUAACAAAAACAUGUCUUUUUGAAAAUAAUUUAAGGUUUAUUCUGCCCACUGAUUUAUAUUAAAGGGCUGCAGUAUUUUAACUGUACAAAGGUAGCAUAAUCAUUAGUUUUUUAAUUGGAAACUUGCAUGAAAGAUUGGAUGAGAUAUAAGCUGUCUUUAAGUUAAAAAUAAAAUUUAAUUUUUCAAUUAAAAAGUUGAAAUAAAUUUAAAAGACGAGAAGACCCUAUAGAGUUUAAUAAUAAUUUAAAUUAAAAUAUUUAUAUUAAAAAAUAAAAUUAAAUUUAAUUUAUUAAUUUAUUGGGGUGAUAGAGAAAUUUAAUUAACUUUUUUUAUAAUUUAACAUGAAUAGGUGAAUGAAUGAUCCAUUAUUUAUGAUUAAAAGAAAAAAUUACCUUAGGGAUAACAGCGUAAUUUUUUUUUUUAGUUCAAAUAAAAAAAAAAGUUUGCGACCUCGAUGUUGGAUUAAGAUAAAAUUUAAAUGUAAAAGUUUAAUAUUUUUGAUCUGUUCGAUCAUUAAAAUCUUACAUGAUCUGAGUUCAAACCGGUGUAAGCCAGGUUGGUUUCUAUCUUUAAAUAUUUAUAAUAUUUUAGUACGAAAGGAUCAAAUAUUAAAAAUAUUUUUAUUAAAAUGAAUAUUAAUAAAUAUUAUAUAUAUAUAUAUAUAUAUAUAUAUAUAUAAAUUAUAAAAAA